This 22-nucleotide microRNA is filed under the name Spodoptera frugiperda (fall armyworm). RNAcentral's name for it is "sfr-miR-10482-3p". The record is from miRBase by way of RNAcentral. Lineage: Eukaryota; Metazoa; Arthropoda; Insecta; Lepidoptera; Noctuidae.
AAAUCCUUUGAUAUUCACCGGU